CCAAGAUGUGCUGAGACGGGGGAAUUCUCCAAUAAAUUAGGGUAGAGUUUGAGACUUUUAUUCUUUGAACAGCUGUAAGGUGACCGAACCAAUGGUUUUCUUUAAUGUUAAACAAUAAAUAUAGCCAAAAGAUUCUGCAGGGCUCAUCCAAUUAACUAUUCAAAAAGUAUCCACAUAAACUCUCUUUAUUAACUCUGGGAAACGAAUGAAACGCAUAUCUCAUGAAAA
Molecule: long non-coding RNA, 228 nt
Organism: Coccinella septempunctata (seven-spotted ladybird)
Lineage: Eukaryota; Metazoa; Arthropoda; Insecta; Coleoptera; Coccinellidae
Exons: 2
Source: RefSeq, a predicted model, not a curated record